RNAcentral lists this ribosomal RNA (460 nucleotides) under uncultured bacterium. Its description in RNAcentral is "partial 16S ribosomal RNA". It matches the Rfam family "Bacterial small subunit ribosomal RNA", at positions 338 to 795 of the family's 1533-position model. The record is from RNAcentral.
CCUACGGGGGGCAGCAGUGAGGAAUAUUGGUCAAUGGUCGUAAGGCUGAACCAGCCAAGUAGCGUGAGGGAAGACGGCCCUAUGGGUUGUAAACUUCUUUUAUGCGGGGAUAAAGUUGUCCACGUGUGGAGGUUUGUAGGUACCGCAUGAAUAAGGACCGGCUAAUUCCGUGCCAGCAGCCGCGGUAAUACGGAAGGUCCGGGCGUUAUCCGGAUUUCUUGGGUUUAAAGGGAGCGUAGGCCGGACUUUAAGCGUGACGUGAAAUGUCGUGGCUCAACCAUGGCAGUGCGGCGCGAACUGGCGUACUUGAGUGCGCGGAAGGCAGGCGGAAUUCGUGGUGUAGCGGUGAAAUGCUUAGAUAUCACGAAGAACCCCGAUUGCGAAGGCAGCCUGCCGCAGCGUUACUGACGCUGAAGCUCGAAGGCGCGGGUAUCGAACAGGAUUAGAUACCCGAGUAGUC